This 1301-nucleotide ribosomal RNA is filed under the name human gut metagenome. RNAcentral's name for it is "bacterial LSU rRNA". It matches the Rfam family "Bacterial large subunit ribosomal RNA", at positions 965 to 2292 of the family's 2925-position model. The record is from RNAcentral.
AGAUAAUCAUAGCCGGGAGUCAGACAGUGUGAGAUAAGUUUCAUUGUCGAAAGGGAAACAGCCCAGAUCUACGACUAAGGUCCCAAAGUUCAAGUUAAGUGGAAAAGGAUGUGCAAUUGCGUAGACAACCAGGAUGUUGGCUUAGUAGCAGCCAUUCAUUCAAAGAGUGCGUAAUAGCUCACUGGUCGAGUGAUUGUGCGCCGAAAAUGUAACGGGGCUAAACUUGACACCGAAGUCUAGGCAGAAGGAAACUUCUGGGUAGGGGAGCAACGUGUACGGGCAGAAGCAGAAGCGGAAGCGACUGUGGACUGUACAGGAGAGAGAAUGCCGGCAUGAGUAGCGAGAGCAAAGUGAGAAUCUUUGCCGUCGAAAGCCUAAGGUUUCCUGAGGAAGGCUCGUCCUCUCAGGGUAAGUCGGGACCUAAGCCGAGGACAAUAGUCGUAGGCGAUGGACAAUCGGUUAAUAUUCCGAUACCGCCGAGCAACCGGAUGCAGUGACACAGAAGGAUAGGCAGAGCGUGGCGAUGGUAGACCACGUCCAAGCAGUGAGGCUGUUGUGUAGUGAAGUACGCACAACGGAAGGCUGGGCUGUGAUGGGGAACGAUUACGAUCGGUAAGCUGCUGAAUUCACGCUGGCGAGAAAAGCUGCUACGAAGCGAAGGCGCCCGUACCGCAAACCGACACAGGUAGGCGAGGAGAGAAUCCUAAGACGAGCGGGAGAACCCUUGUUAAGGAACUCGGCAAAAUGACUCCGUAACUUAGGGAGAAGGAGUGCCCAGGAAUGGGCCGCAGAGAAUAGACCCAAGCGACUGUUUACCAAAAACACAGGUCUGUGCGAAGUAGAGAUACGACGUAUACGGGCUGACACCUGCCCAGUGCCGGAAGGUUAAGGGGAAAUGUUAGGGCAACCGAAGCAUGGAACUUAAGCCCCGGUGAACGGCGGCCGUAACUAUAACGGUCCUAAGGUAGCGAAAUUCCUUGUCGGGUAAGUUCCGACCCGCACGAAUGGUGUAACGAUUUGGGUACUGUCUCAACAAGGGACCCGGCGAAAUUGUAGUAUGUGUGAAGAUGCACAUUACCCGCGAUAGGACGGAAAGACCCCGUAGAGCUUUACUGUAGUUUAACAUUGGAUUCCGGUAACAUAUGCACAGGAUAGGUGGGAGGCGGAGAAGCAGUGAUUUCGGUUGCUGCAGAGCCGACGUUGGGAUACCACUCUUGUGUUACUGGGGUUCUAACCUGUGGCCGUGAUCCGGCACAGGAACAGUGUUAGAUGGGCAGUUUGACUGGGGCGGUCGCCUCCAA